This 465-nucleotide ribosomal RNA is filed under the name uncultured bacterium. Its description in RNAcentral is "partial 16S ribosomal RNA". It matches the Rfam family "Bacterial small subunit ribosomal RNA", at positions 28 to 507 of the family's 1533-position model. The record is from RNAcentral.
GACGAACGCUGGCGGCGUGCUUAACACAUGCAAGUCGAACGGACAGGCCCCUUUGGGGGUACUCGAGUGGUGAACGGGUGAGUAACACGCGUGUAACCUGCCCUUGACUUCGGGAUAACUACUGGUAACUGGGGCGAAUACCGGAGAGGAAUCCUUGCGGCAUGGUGGGGGUUGGCAAGCUUUUGCGGUUUUGGAUGGAUUCGCGGCUUAUCAGCCUGCUGGUGGGGUAGUGGCUUACCCAGGCUUUGGCGGGUAGCCGGCGUGAGAGGGAGACCAGCCACAGUGAGACUGGGAUACGGCCCAGACUCCUACUGGAGGGGGAAGUGGGGAAGAGUGAACAAGGGGCGGAAGCCUGAGGCAGCACCGGCGCGGGCGGGAGGGCGGUCUUCGGGUUGUGGUCCGCAUGCAGCAGGAGCGAAGCUUGUAAUGACGGUACCUGCAGAAGAAGCACCGGCUAACUACGUG